This 77-nucleotide transfer RNA is filed under the name Ailuropoda melanoleuca (giant panda). It matches the Rfam family "tRNA". Rfam says of the family: Transfer RNA (tRNA) molecules are approximately 80 nucleotides in length. Their secondary structure includes four short double-helical elements and three loops (D, anti-codon, and T loops). Further hydrogen bonds mediate the characteristic L-shaped molecular structure. tRNAs have two regions of fundamental functional importance: the anti-codon, which is responsible for specific mRNA codon recognition, and the 3' end, to which the tRNAs corresponding amino acid is attached (by aminoacyl-tRNA synthetases). tRNAs cope with the degeneracy of the genetic code in two manners: having more than one tRNA (with a specific anti-codon) for a particular amino acid; and 'wobble' base-pairing, i.e. permitting non-standard base-pairing at the 3rd anti-codon position. Lineage: Eukaryota; Metazoa; Chordata; Mammalia; Carnivora; Ursidae. The record is from Rfam by way of RNAcentral.
UCCUGGCUGGCUCAGUUGGUAGAGCCUGUGACUCUUCCUUCAUCUCAGGGUUGUGGGUUUGAGUCCCACGUUGGGUG